UAAUUUACAUCAUUAAAAAGCCAUUUUAAGGUGUUUAAGGAACUUGUAUGCUUGGAGAAUCAUUGGAGAUUAUUUUAGAGCUUUCAAGUCUUCUUAAUCUUUAUCUUAAAGUCCAUAAAUCCUUUGCAAAUUUGUUAUUACGCGCUAAUUGGAUACCCGAACUGCUAGCAUACAUACGGACGCAAACUUGUAACUAAGUGGAUCUUGGUGAGACAAAUUAUGAAGUUUCAAGUUUACUAUGAAGACGAUGUCAUCCGUAUUUUGGAGGGUUUGAUCCAUAUAUCCCGUCUUCGAACGGGACAUAGGAUGCAAAACCUCGUUAUUUCAAAAACUUUAUUUUGAACAAGUCUUGUUUGUAGAACUUAUAAACUUAUGUUGUCUUUUGCUACAAAACAACUUAUGACUUGUAUCUUUACAUUAUGGAAUGGAUGAACA
RNAcentral lists this long non-coding RNA (435 nucleotides) under Helianthus annuus (common sunflower). Lineage: Eukaryota; Viridiplantae; Streptophyta; Magnoliopsida; Asterales; Asteraceae. The record is from RNAcentral.